This 582-nucleotide ribosomal RNA is filed under the name Salmonella enterica. RNAcentral describes it as "partial 16S ribosomal RNA". It matches the Rfam family "Bacterial small subunit ribosomal RNA", at positions 1 to 572 of the family's 1533-position model. The record is from RNAcentral. RNAcentral also lists the same sequence under 1 other name. Lineage: Bacteria; Pseudomonadati; Pseudomonadota; Gammaproteobacteria; Enterobacterales; Enterobacteriaceae.
AAAUUGAAGAGUUUGAUCAUGGCUCAGAUUGAACGCUGGCGGCAGGCCUAACACAUGCAAGUCGAACGGUAACAGGAAGCAGCUUGCUGCUUUGCUGACGAGUGGCGGACGGGUGAGUAAUGUCUGGGAAACUGCCUGAUGGAGGGGGAUAACUACUGGAAACGGUGGCUAAUACCGCAUAACGUCGCAAGACCAAAGAGGGGGACCUUCGGGCCUCUUGCCAUCAGAUGUGCCCAGAUGGGAUUAGCUUGUUGGUGAGGUAACGGCUCACCAAGGCGACGAUCCCUAGCUGGUCUGAGAGGAUGACCAGCCACACUGGAACUGAGACACGGUCCAGACUCCUACGGGAGGCAGCAGUGGGGAAUAUUGCACAAUGGGCGCAAGCCUGAUGCAGCCAUGCCGCGUGUAUGAAGAAGGCCUUCGGGUUGUAAAGUACUUUCAGCGGGGAGGAAGGUGUUGCGGUUAAUAACCGCAGCAAUUGACGUUACCCGCAGAAGAAGCACCGGCUAACUCCGUGCCAGCAGCCGCGGUAAUACGGAGGGUGCAAGCGUUAAUCGGAAUUACUGGGCGUAAAGCGCACGC